This is an RNA transcript of Panicum virgatum (switchgrass), 1478 nucleotides long. It is a transcript of the gene named vegetative cell wall protein gp1-like, with no coding region annotated. The transcript has 3 exons. Lineage: Eukaryota; Viridiplantae; Streptophyta; Magnoliopsida; Poales; Poaceae. The record is from RefSeq and is a predicted model, not a curated record.
AGGCGACGUGGCGGGAGCGAGCGGCGCACGCCCGGCGACCAGCGUGGCCUCAUCCAGCCUCUGAUCGGUGGGGACGUCUGACUGUGGAGCCCGGUUGUCUGUGGCGGGGGAAGGGAGCGGCGGCCGGAUGCGCAGCUACGGCGGAGGCGGGGCCUUUCCAGCUGCACGCGCUUGGAUCCGGCUUGGAUUCCCUCGCCUCGACACGUCGGAACAGUGGCCCCCCGCCGGAACAGUGCGCAGGCGGCGCCUGUCCGCCCUGUCCUCCGCUGCGCUCCCGACGUCCCGUCGGAGGCGGUGCCCGAGACCACCCCGUCGUGUCGGCGUGCUCCCGGAGCUCGAUGCCCGGCCCUUUCACGCCGAGAUAAGAGCCGCGCCCCUUUCCUCUCCUCUUCCUCCCCUUCCCCCGUUUCUUCUCCCUCCUGCUUCUCUCUUCGUGUUCUUCUUCCCUGCCACCCACUCCGGCGGCAGCUCGACCUCCUCCGGCUCCGCGCGGGUGAGCUCCGCCGCCUCCACGACCGCGCGAGCACGAGCUUCGCUGUCCCCGUCACGCGAGCGAGAUCCAUGGCGGCCCCCCUACGCUUCCUCCCCAACUUCGACGCCUCCGCGUCCGCGUCGACCGGCCAAGGUUCAGCUCGACCUCCUCGGUCUCCACCUACGCUCCGCUGCUGCCGCCCGCUUCGCGGGAUCCAGAUCCGGCCUCCCCCUCCACCUCCUCGUCCCUGCUCACCCCGUCCUUACUCUGCUCCGCCAUCCACCCCCGCGCGCCCGCUCCACCGGUGCAUCUCCUUGGCCAGACCGCACAGCAUCGGCAGCGCCAUCCCCUCCUCCAUGGCAGUCCCGCCGGGCACGGCGCAGCUCGCCAAGUCCGCCUCCAUCAUCAGGCGGGCUCCCGCUGAACAAGUCUGACAUCAACCACAGUCAAUCUGGCUUAGCCUCCAGAAGCCCGUGGUGCGCGCGCCGCAAGCUCCAGCAAGCAGGUGAGUGGGGGACUGAGUUCGAGCUCCUGGAUUCGGCUUGCUUCUAUAUCACGUUCUUUUUUUCCCCUUGACUCCUUCCUCCGUUGGAACCUCCUCCUCCUGCAGAUCUGGUGCGGUGGUGACAACUUCCGUGAGGAGGUCUACACCGUGUUUGUCUGCUUGGACUGCAGUAAAGCACGCACUUUGUUAAUUAAAUCAUCUUAAAUUCUGGUGUGAUUUUCCCAUCUGGAUGGUAAACUUUGAUUUUUCAGCUAAGUGUUUGUUCUUUUUCCAGUGCGAAGUAAUGGAACAGAUUAAUUGAUAUGCUUCUUUCUCUUGAAGAAUCUGAUUAAAGUUGCAAGACUUAAAUGCUAGAAGCCAGAAACAAGGGUUCCAUUGGUUACUCAAUUAAAUUUGAAGAUACUCCAUGUUUUCUAAAUUCCAAAAAAAGAUUAGUCUUCGACUGCCCAUCUGAGCAUUGUAUGGGAUUGUUCUUUCUUUCUUGUAUACCAAAAAAAAAAA